AUUUGUUAUGAAAAUUAUGACAAAGAUGGGGCUGACCUCGAGGUCCACGGUCAACCUAGGCUUCGGACACUGGCUCGCACUAAACAAUUCAGGUUCUUGGACAAGGCAAUGAUAAUUGACAACAUCGAUGCCUCAAGCAAUGCCAGAAAUCCAUGGAGGCUCUGCAACCUAAACCAAGUGGAAGAAGUGAAGUUAGUCUUCCGCCUGAUCCCCAUAUGGCUAAGUUGUUUAAUGUUCACAGCCAUAAUAGUUCAAACCAACACAUUUUUCACCAAGCAAGGCAGUACAAUGAUCAGAUCAAUCGGAUCAAACUUCCAGUUUCCUCCAGCAUCACUUCAAUCCCUUAUAGGCGUCACGAUCCUCAUUGCCGUCCCGACUUAUGAUCGAGUUUUCGUCCCGAUGGCCAGAAAAAUAACAGGACACCCCUCUGGUAUAACCAUGCUUCAAAGAAUAGGCAUUGGCUUAUUCCUAUCCGUUCUACAAAUGGCAGUGUCAGCUCUAGUAGAGACUAAAAGGGUCAGCACUGCAAGAGACCGUGGCCUUCUGGACAACCCAAAGGCAAUAGUACCAAUGGCGGUGUGGUGGUUGCUCCCACAAUACAUGCUCAGUGGACUAGCCGAUCUGUUUGCAGUGGUUGGGUUACAAGAACUGUUCUAUGAUCAAGUGCCGGAAGCGAUGAGAAGCAUGGGAGCAGCUGCAUAUCUAAGUAUACUUGGACUUGGGAGCUUCAUAAAUAGUGCCGUUAUUUCUGUAGUGCAGGCUAUUACCUCUAAGUAUGGACAUGUUUGGCUUGGAGAUAAUCUGAAUCGUGCCCAUCUUGAUUACUUCUACUGGGUGAUGGCAGUAUUGAGUGCUUUAAAUUUGUGUGUCUAUGUAUGGGUUGCUAACGGUUUUGUAUACAAGAAAGUUGAAGGUGAAGAAACAGAGGAGGGGGAGAAAAGAGUUGGUUCUUGAAGGGCAUUUAGAUUUGAACAUUUGAGACUGUAUAUAAAUGUGUGUGUGUGUG
RNAcentral lists this unclassified non-coding RNA (1006 nucleotides) under Hevea brasiliensis (rubber tree). Lineage: Eukaryota; Viridiplantae; Streptophyta; Magnoliopsida; Malpighiales; Euphorbiaceae. The record is from RNAcentral.